This 666-nucleotide ribosomal RNA is filed under the name uncultured bacterium. Its description in RNAcentral is "bacterial SSU rRNA". It matches the Rfam family "Bacterial small subunit ribosomal RNA", at positions 301 to 980 of the family's 1533-position model. The record is from RNAcentral.
UGAUUCCCAACACUGGUACUGAGACCGACCAGACUCCUACGGAGGCAGCAGUAGAUAUUUGACAAUGUCGCAGACUGAUCAGCAUGCGCGUGCAGAUGACGAUCUAUGAUCUGUAAACUGCUUUUGUUCGGGAAUAAACCCCUUCACGUGUGAGGGCUGAAUGUACCGAAAGAAUAAGGGUCGGCUAACUUCGUGCCAGCAGCCGCGGUAAGACGAAGGACCCAAGCGUUAUCCGGGAUUUAUUGGGUUUAAAGGGUGCGUAGGCGGGUUGUUAAGUCAGUGGUGAAAGCCUAGAGCUUAACUCUAGAAUUGCCAUUGAUACUGACGAUCUUGAGGAUAGUUGAGGUGGGCGGAAUGUAUCAUGUAGCGGUGAAAUGCUUAGAGAUGAUACAGAACACCGAUUGCGAAGGCAGCUCACUAAGCUAUUUCUGACGCUGAGGCACGAAAGCGUGGGGAUCAAACAGGAUUAGAUACCCUGGUAGUCCACGCCCUAAACGAUGAUUACUCGAUGUGUGCGAUAUACUGUACGCGUCUAAGCGAAAGCAUUAAGUAAUCCACCUGGGGAGUACGACCGCAAGGUUGAAACUCAAAGGAAUUGACGGGGGCCCGCACAAGCGGAGGAGCAUGUGGUUUAAUUCGAUGAUACGCGAGGAACCUUACCAGGGC